UUUAUCCAUUUAUGACCCUCUAUCCUUCUUAUUUUUUGGUUGCAUUUAAAGUGAUUUGCAGACUUUGCUCCUAAAUAUCUAAAUAAACAAAUAUUACUAUACUUCAAUAUUUGUUUCCUUUUUUGGGUGGUGGGCGUGGGAGCUGCACCUGUGACACAUAGAAGUUUCUGCGCCAGGGAUUGAACCAGCAAUGCUGGUUGUAACUGCAUUGCUCCACAGCUGUGGCAACACUGGAUCCUUAAUAACCCACUGUGCCGCAGGGGAACUUCCUGUGUACUUUUUAAAGUAAAAUCUGCAUGCAAUAUAGUACAUAAAUUUUAAUUGAAUUAUUCGAUGAAUUUUGACAAAUAUAUGUAUCUAAUAACUCAAACCCCUACCAGGAUUAGAACAUUAUUUUGAUUCUAGAAAUUUUCUUCAUGCCCUUUUUUUCUCCUUUUUUUGACCACCUAGGACAUAUGGAGUUUGGGAUCAGAUCCAAGCUGCAGUUGCAAUGCUGGAUCCUUAAUCUAGUUGUGCCGGGGUUGGCAGGGGAGGGAAUCAGACCUGCGUGCUUCAAAGAAGCCAGUGUUGCGCAACAGUGGAAAUUCCUCUUCAUGCCCUUUUUUCUUUUUUCUUUUUUUUUUUAGGCAACACCCAUAGCAUAUGGAAGUUCCCAAGCUAUGGGUCUAAUCGGAGCUAUAGGUGCAGCCUACACCACAGCCACAGCAAUCCCAUAUCAAAGCAAUGUCUGCAGCCUAUACCACAGCUCAUGGCAAUGCGGGGUCCUUUGACCCACUGAGCAAGGCCAGGGAUCAAACCUGCAUCCUAAUGGAUACUAGUUGGGUUUGUUUCCACUAUGCCACACUGGGAAUUACCUUUAAGCCCUUUUUCACUCAGUUCCCAGAGGAGCCAAUACUCAUUUUUCUGCCACAGAUUAAUUUUUAAUAUUCAAGAAUCUCAUUUGGAGUUUUCUUGUGGCGCAGAGGGUUAAGGAUCUGGCAUUGUCACUGCAGCAGCUUGGGUUGCCGCUGUGGCACAGGUUUGAACCCUGGCCUAGGAACUUCCACAUGCCAUGCAGUCAUGGCCAAAAAAGAUAAUAAAGAAUCUCUUAUAAAUGGAACCAUACAAUACAUACUCUUCUGUGUAAAACUUCUUUCAGGAAGGAAUUUUUUUUUGAAAUUCCCCUAUUUUUGUUGCAUAUUUUUAGUUUAUUUCUUUUUAUUACUUAAUAGUACUCCUUUGAAUGUAUCUCAGUUUUUUCGUUUAUUCUCUUAUUGAUGGACAUCUCAGCUACUUACAGUUUUUUGUUAUUGUGAGUAAAAGUUUCUGGGCUGGGGAUCAAACCCAAGCCACGGUAGCAAUCCAAGCCACUGCAGUGACCAUGCCAUAUCCUUAACCCACUUCACCACAAGAAUACCCCACUGCAAACAUUCUUGUACAAGACUUUUUGUGGAAGCUUGCUUUUAGUUCUUUUAUAUAAAUACAUGGAUAGAAAUGCUGGAUCAAGAAACUGCUUAACAUAGUCCCAAGUUAUUGUCCCCUUUUGUGUGGCCCCCAGAAAUGUAUGAGAAUUCCAGUUGCAUCAUCUCUUGGCCAGCAUUUGGUGUUGUCAGUCUUUUUAAUUUGGCUAUUCUGUGGGUAUUUAAUAGUAUCACUAUGGCUUUAAUUUGUUCCCAGGCUAGGGGUCCAAUCGGAGCUGUAGCUACCAGCCUACACCCAGCCACAGCAACGUGGGAGCCGAGCCCCAUCUGUGACCUAUACCACAGCUUACAGCAACACCAGAUCCUUAACCCACUGAAUGAGGCCGGGAAUCGAACCCACAUCCUCAUGGAUGCUAGUCGGGUUCACUAACCACUGAGGCACGACGGGAACUCCGGGAACUUUGUAGUUUUAAGCUUUAAGUUUAGGUGUUUGAUCCAUUACAAAUUAAUUAUGUACAGAGUGAGAUAGAGAUUUAGGUUCACUUUUUUUAUAUGGAUAUCCAGUUAUUCUGACACUACUGAAAAGAUUGUCCAUUUCCCAUUGGAUUGCUUUGGUGCCUUUCUUGAAACUCAGUUUAUUGAAUAAGUAAGUUUUUUUUUUUCACCAGUGUUCACUGUUUUGUGAUCUCUUUGUCUGCUCAUAUGACAGGACCAUGCUGACUUGAUUUCUGUAGUUUCAUACUAAGUCUUAAAAUCAGGUAAUGUAAGUCCUCCAACUUUGCUUUUCUUUUUAAAGAUUUCUUUCGGUUUUUCUCCACAUCUUUCGCAUUUCCAUAUAAAUUUUAGAAUCAAGUUGUCUUAUUUCUACAAUAUUCCUGGUAGGGAUAUGCAUGCAGUUGCAUUGAAUAUCAAAUUUUGUCAAAUGUUUUUUCUGUAUCUGUUUAAAUGAUUAUUUUUUGUAUUUUAUUCUGUUAAUACAGUGGAUCACAUUCAUUUAAAAAAAUGUUAAACCAAUCUUGCAUUCUGAGAAUAAACUUCCCUUAAUCAUGAUAUAUUAUCCUUUUAUGUACUGCUAGACUCAAUUUGCUAAUGUUUUGUUUUAGAUAUUUGCAUCUUUCUUCUUGAAGGAUAUCAGCCUGUAAUUUUUUAUUUUUCCCUUCCCCUCCCUCUCUCCGUUUCACAAUCUCAGUCUCUCUCUCUCCCCACCCCUACGUCCUUCUUCUCUUCCUUCUCCUCCUCCUUUUUGUAAUUUGUCUAGUUUUAUUAGUGGGUUAUGUUGAUUGACCUCAUGAAAGGUUGAAAUAUAUUCUCUUCCAUUUUCUCAAGGCGUUUGUAUAAUGUUGAUGUUCUUUGUUUAAGUGUUUCAUAGUAUUUACCAGUAAAACCAUCUUGGCCUGAAGUUUUCUUUGUGGAGGUUUUUGAUAGCAAAUUCAAUUUCUUUAAUAGAUGUAGAUGUAUUCAUAUUUUCAAUUUAAUCUUAUGUAAGUUUUAUAGGUGGUCUUUUCAAGGAGUUUAUUUCAUCUAAACUUAUUGGCAUAUAAUUGUUCCUAAUAUUACUUUUUUAUCCUUUUUUAUCCCACAUUAAGUCUGUGGGAUCUAGGAUGAUAUCCUAUUUCAUUUCUCACACUGGUGUUCUAUUUUAUUUUCUUCACUAAUCUAGCUAGGAUGUUAUGAAUUUUGUUGAGUGUUACCAAUUUCAUAGAUCAUUUCAAAGAACUAAUUUUUGGUUUUAUUAAUUUAUCUUACCUACUUCAUGAUUGAAAGUCUUUAUUAUUUAUUCUCUUUUAAUUAUUCUGUGUUUACUCUGCUUUUUCUAGCUUUUAAAAGUUGACCUUUGCAGUCAUUUAUUUUCUUGUUUUCUAAUUUAGGCAGAAAAUUCUUAUUUUCUCUGAUAAUAUUCUCCCUUGAAGGUUAUUUUAUUUGAUGUUUUUAUUUUUUUAUGCUUCAUAUAUUUUUCUAUCCAUUUAUCUGUAUCUACCUGCAUCUCUUAUAGUUGUCUCCUGCUUUUUAAAAAUCUAUUCUGUUCAUUGUGGCUCAGCAAGUUAAGAAUCUGACAUAGACAUGGUGUCUGUGAGGAUGCAGGUUCAAUCGCUGGCCUCACUCAGUGGGUUAAAAUUCCAUAUUGCCACUAGCUGUGGCAUAGGUUGCUAGUGAGGCUCAGAUCCAUUUUAUCUGUGGCUGUGGUGUAGGCUGGCAGCUGUAGCUCUGAUUUAACCCCUGGUCUGGAAACUUCCAUAUGCUACAGGUGUGGCCUUAAAAAAAAAAAAAAAAAAAAAAA
RNAcentral lists this long non-coding RNA (3678 nucleotides) under Sus scrofa (pig). Its description in RNAcentral is "lncRNA (ENSSSCG00050045147.1)". Lineage: Eukaryota; Metazoa; Chordata; Mammalia; Artiodactyla; Suidae. The record is from RNAcentral.